CCUACGGGGGGCAGCAGUGGGGAAUAUUGCGCAAUGGGCGAAAGCCUGACGCAGCGACGCCGCGUGAGGGAUGAAGGUCUUCGGAUCGUAAACCUCUGUCAGCAGGGAAGAACGGUCACUGUGCUAAUCAGCAGUGAAUUGACGGUACCUGAAGAAGAAGCCCCGGCUAACUACGUGCCAGCAGCCGCGGUAAUACGUAGGGGGCAAGCGUUAUCCGGAUUUACUGGGUGUAAAGGGGGCGCAGACGGCGAUGCAAGCCAGGAGUGAAAGCCCGGGGCCCAACCCCGGGACUGCUCUUGGAACUGCGUGGCUGGAGUGCAGGAGGGGCAGGCGGAAUUCCUGGGGUAGCGGUGAAAUGCGUAGAUAUCAGGAGGAACACCGGUGGCGAAGGCGGCCUGCUGGACUGCAACUGACGUUGAGGCCCGAAAGCGUGGGGAGCAAACAGGAUUAGAUACCCCAGUAGUC
This 465-nucleotide ribosomal RNA is filed under the name uncultured bacterium. RNAcentral describes it as "partial 16S ribosomal RNA". It matches the Rfam family "Bacterial small subunit ribosomal RNA", at positions 338 to 795 of the family's 1533-position model. The record is from RNAcentral.